Molecule: ribosomal RNA, 1411 nt
Filed under: uncultured bacterium
Lineage: Bacteria
Description: bacterial SSU rRNA
Rfam family: Bacterial small subunit ribosomal RNA
Source: RNAcentral
AGAGUUUGAUCCUGGCUCAGGAUGAACGCUAGCGACAGGCUUAACACAUGCAAGUCGAGGGGCAGCGGGGUAGGAAGCUUGCUUUCUGCCGCCGGCGACCGGCGCACGGGUGAGUAACACGUAUGCAACCUGGCCGUGGCAGAUGGAUAACCGGGAGAAAUCCCGCCUAAUACAACAUAAUGCCGGGAGGGGACAUCCCCUGCCGGUCAAAGGGGGCGACCCCGGUCAUGGAUGGGCAUGCGGCGCAUUAGGUAGUUGGUGGGGCAACGGCCCACCAAGCCGACGAUGCGUAGGGGUUCUGAGAGGAAGGUCCCCCACAUUGGAACUGAGACACGGUCCAAACUCCUACGGGAGGCAGCAGUGAGGAAUAUUGGUCAAUGGCCGGAAGGCUGAACCAGCCAAGUCGCGUGAGGGAAUAAGGCCCUACGGGUCGUAAACCUCUUUUGCCAGGGAGCAAUGCCGUCCACGUGUGGACGGAAGGAGAGUACCUGGAGAAAAAGCAUCGGCUAACUCCGUGCCAGCAGCCGCGGUAAUACGGAGGAUGCGAGCGUUAUCCGGAUUUAUUGGGUUUAAAGGGUGCGUAGGCGGCCUGCCAAGUCAGCGGUAAAAUUGCGGGGCUCAACCCCGUACAGCCGUUGAAACUGCCGGGCUCGAGUGGGCGAGAAGUAUGCGGAAUGCGUGGUGUAGCGGUGAAAUGCAUAGAUAUCACGCAGAACCCCGAUUGCGAAGGCAGCAUACCGGCGCCCGACUGACGCUGAGGCACGAAAGUGCGGGGAUCAAACAGGAUUAGAUACCCUGGUAGUCCGCACAGUAAACGAUGAAUGCUAGCUGUCCGGGGGGAUUGACCCCUGGGUGGCACAGCGAAAGCGUUAAGCAUUCCACCUGGGGAGUACGCCGGCGACGGUGAAACUCAAAGGAAUUGACGGGGGCCCGCACAAGCGGAGGAACAUGUGGUUUAAUUCGAAGCAACGCGAAGAACCUUACCUGACCUUGACAUCCCGAUGAAAGCAGAGUAAUGUCUGCCGCCCUUCGGGGCAUUGGAGACAGGUGGUGCAUGGUUGUCGUCAGCUCGUGUCGUGAGAUGUUGGGUUAAGUCCCGCAACGAGCGCAACCCCUGCCGUCAGUAGCCAGCAGGUAAAGCUGGGCACUCUGAUGGGACAGCCUGGGAUAACCAGGAGGAAGGCGGGGAUGACGUCAAAUCAUCAUGCCCCUUAUGGCCAGGGCUACACACGUGCUACAAUGGCGUAAACAGAGGGAAGCGAGACAGCGAUGUUAAGCAAAGCCCAAAAAUAACGCCUCAGUUCGGAUUGCAGCCUGCAACUCGGCUGCAUGAAGCCGGAAUCGCUAGUAAUCGCGGAUCAGAAUGCCGCGGUGAAUACGUUCCCGGGUCUUGCACACACCGCCCGUCAAG